Molecule: long non-coding RNA, 234 nt
Filed under: Mytilus galloprovincialis (Mediterranean mussel)
Lineage: Eukaryota; Metazoa; Mollusca; Bivalvia; Mytilida; Mytilidae
Source: RNAcentral
GUUUGAUGUAGUUAUAAUACUUCGUUUUUGAGAUAUGGCGCGACAUGUUAAAAAACCCACAUUCCUGUUUCACUUACAUUUCCUGUAACUCAAAAAGAUUUAAUUUGAUUUUCACUAAAAGGUUUACAGAUCGUUUGACCAUUAUAAGAAAUAACUAUGUUAAAUUUUAAGAAAUAAGAUAAGCUGUCCUCAAGUUACGGUGCGACAUGUUUAUGCUGGAAAGACGGAUAGACG